GUGAAUCAUCGAAUUUUUGAACGCAAAUUGCACUCUCCUCGGAGAGUAUGCCUGUUUGAGGGUCAGCCUAUAAAAAAUCGACAUCGUUGCUGUUUCGCGGUGACGUUCGUCGGAAAUUGGGUCAUCUUAAAUCCUUUUGGUUUUAAGCGACUUAAAAAUUUCUUUUUGGUUCCAUGAACGUUUCUAAGAUUUAUUUCUUUACACGUUUAAGGUAAUCGUUUUUAAUUAACGUUAACCAUGAUACCGAACCGC
Molecule: unclassified non-coding RNA, 252 nt
Filed under: Glomeraceae sp.
Lineage: Eukaryota; Fungi; Glomeromycota; Glomeromycetes; Glomerales; Glomeraceae
Description: partial contains 5.8S ribosomal RNA and internal transcribed spacer 2
Rfam family: 5.8S ribosomal RNA (bases 1-65)
Source: RNAcentral